AUUGAACGCUGGCGGCAUGCUUUACACAUGCAAGUCGAACGGCAGCGCGGGCUUCGGCCUGGCGGCGAGUGGCGAACGGGUGAGUAAUGCAUCGGAACGUGCCCAGUAGUGGGGGAUAGCCCGGCGAAAGCCGGAUUAAUACCGCAUACGACCUGAGGGUGAAAGCGGGGGACCGAAAGGCCUCGCGCUAUUGGAGCGGCCGAUGUCGGAUUAGCUAGUUGGUGGGGUAAAGGCUUACCAAGGCGACGAUCCGUAGCUGGUCUGAGAGGACGACCAGCCACAGUGGGACUGAGACACGGCCCAGACUCCUACGGGAGGCAGCAGUGGGGAAUUUUGGACAAUGGGGGCAACCCUGAUCCAGCCAUGCCGCGUGCGGGAAGAAGGCCUUCGGGUUGUAAACCGCUUUUGUUCGGGAAGAAAUCCUCUGGGCUAAUACCCCGGGGGGAUGACGGUACCGGAAGAAUAAGCACCGGCUAACUACGU
This 483-nucleotide ribosomal RNA is filed under the name uncultured bacterium. RNAcentral's name for it is "partial 16S ribosomal RNA". It matches the Rfam family "Bacterial small subunit ribosomal RNA", at positions 28 to 506 of the family's 1533-position model. The record is from RNAcentral.